Molecule: long non-coding RNA, 399 nt
Organism: Girardinichthys multiradiatus
Lineage: Eukaryota; Metazoa; Chordata; Actinopteri; Cyprinodontiformes; Goodeidae
Exons: 3
Source: RefSeq, a predicted model, not a curated record
AGACCGCAGCUUUCUUUAAAGCAGCGUCGUAGAAAGAGAGAGUUACGACACUCCCAUUGACUUCUAUAGAAAGAAUGGAAUGCGGAAGUCACGUGGUUCAUGGAGCUGCUAAUAGGUCCAAACACCAGCAGCUCCAGCAUUGGACGUAGUUCAUUCUCGGUGCUUCGUAAGGAUUUUUACGCUAGCUCAUUGUAAGCAUGACCGAUUGGUGCAUCCUAAUGCAGCACACCCAACCAUGGGAGGUCAGCAAAUGUGGUGACUGACUUCAAAAGGAGCUGCUGCCAAUGAUGCCAAGGAGGAUGAACCCUCAUUCGGACUUGGGCACAUUUCUACCUUGUCCAGUUUUGAUCAGAUACAGUUUAUUGGUGCAGAUGUAAUUAAUAAACUGAAGAAAUGGUA